Neopelma chrysocephalum (saffron-crested tyrant-manakin) is the source of this 337-nucleotide long non-coding RNA. RefSeq lists it as uncharacterized. The transcript has 3 exons. Lineage: Eukaryota; Metazoa; Chordata; Aves; Passeriformes; Pipridae. The record is from RefSeq and is a predicted model, not a curated record.
AGUUGCCAUUGUUCCACGGACCUUCGUUCUCAAGCCAGGAACGGCCUUGUUUUUAGCAGCCUUGGGAUGUAUAGACUACUUACAGCCACCAACGCACUUGUAGCAAAUGUGGGUAGAGCCCUCCCCAAAUCUUGGCGAAGCCCAGCCAUGAUGGUUAUUUAUUUCAGGGAGAAAAGUCUGCCUGGUUUUCUGUCGUGGCUUCUAACCUGUUGCCAGUCCACAUCACUACCCUGAGUAACGCAGAUGCCAUCUACGAGAAGCACGCUGGCCGAGAGUUACUAAAGGUUCCCAUGGGUGGGGAAGAGCGAAUGAAAGAGUUCCCCCCACUUGUCCCUCA